AGUGGUUUUGGGGCAGAUGACCCAACUUUUGCUCGAGGGUUGGGGCUGAGACAUGGCCUUGCCAAUCAGAGCCCUGAAUUCCCUAUGGUCACCAUGAUUGGCUUGGGGAUGGGCCUCGGACCCAAUCACAGCCAACCAACUUUCACCCUGGAACUUCUGCUUGUAGUGACAGGGAGAAAUGACUCACUCUCUUUUCUGCUAGACCAGAGGUGGGGUGAAUGAGAGCUUGGAGCUCCCAGGCACCAUCAGAAUCCCUUGUACUGACAGUGGUCACAUGACCCAGUUCUAGACCAUGAAACAAGGAGAAAUCUGCUGGGAAAGGAAACACAGGGAAAAUAGACAUAGCCAGCAUCACUCUAUCUCCCUCUUCCUACCUUGAAAGAGGAUGUGAUGGCUGGAAUUGCAGCAGCCACAUUAUGACCAUGAGGCAGAGGCCAAAAGAAGUGCAAUGACACAAGUCCUAACAUAAUUGAGCCACUGAAAUAAUGCCAAGAGCUCUCUACCUGUGUUUUUCUUGUAAUAAAAACAAACACCUAUUUGUUUAGGA
Aethalodelphis obliquidens (Pacific white-sided dolphin) is the source of this 547-nucleotide long non-coding RNA. RefSeq lists it as uncharacterized. Lineage: Eukaryota; Metazoa; Chordata; Mammalia; Artiodactyla; Delphinidae. The record is from RefSeq and is a predicted model, not a curated record. The transcript has 2 exons.